This 812-nucleotide ribosomal RNA is filed under the name uncultured bacterium. RNAcentral describes it as "bacterial SSU rRNA". It matches the Rfam family "Bacterial small subunit ribosomal RNA", at positions 636 to 1447 of the family's 1533-position model. The record is from RNAcentral.
UNUGACUUGAGUGCAGAAGGGGAGAGUGGAAUUCCAUGUGUAGCGGUGAAAUGCGUAGAUAUAUGGAGGAACACCAGUGGCGAAAGCGGCUCUCUGGUCUGUCACUGACGCUGAGGCUCGAAAGCGUGGGUAGCGAACAGGAUUAGAUACCCUGGUAGUCCACGCCGUAAACGAUGAGUGCUAGGUGUUAGGCCCUUUCCGGGGCUUAGUGCCGGAGCUAACGCAAUAAGCACUCCGCCUGGGGAGUACGACCGCAAGGUUGAAACUCAAAGGAAUUGACGGGGGCCCGCACAAGCGGUGGAGCAUGUGGUUUAAUUCGAAGCAACGCGAAGAACCUUACCAGGUCUUGACAUCCCGAUGCUAUUCUUAGAGAUAGGAAGUUACUUCGGUACAUCGGAGACAGGUGGUGCAUGGUUGUCGUCAGUUCGUGUCGUGAGAUGUUGGGUUAAGUCCCGCAACGAGCGCAACCCUUAUUGUUAGUUGCCAUCAUUAAGUUGGGCACUCUAGCGAGACUGCCGGUAAUAAACCGGAGGAAGGUGGGGAUGACGUCAAAUCAUCAUGCCCCUUAUGACCUGGGCUACACACGUGCUACAACGGUCGGUACAACGAGUUGCGAGCCGGUGACGGCAAGCUAAUCUCUGAAAGCCGAUCUCAGUUCGGAUUGGAGGCUGCAACUCGCCUCCAUGAAGUCGGAAUCGCUAGUAAUCGCGGAUCAGCACGCCGCGGUGAAUACGUUCCCGGGCCUUGUACACACCGCCCGUCACACCACGAGAGUUUGUAACACCCGAAGUCGGUGAGGUANCCUUUUAGGG